CAGUGACACAAAGUGUUUCUGCAAAUAUCCUCUAACAUACUUCCUAGUACUUUCAGAGGACUUCUCUAGGGGAUGUGCUUAGAAACAUGCUGUUGCCAGGCAUGGUGGCCCACAUCUUUGAUCCCAGCACUAGGGAGGCAGAGGCAGGCAAAUCUCUAUGUGUUUGAGGCCAGUGUAGUAUACAUAGUGAGUUAUGGACCAGGUAGUACUAUAUAGAUAGAACCUGUCUCAACCGACCAACCAACCAACCAACCAACCAACCAACCAACCAACCAACUGACCAACUGAACAACCAACUGAACAACCAACUGACCAACCAACCAUCCAACCAACCAACCAGAGUUGUGAGUUUGUGCUGGUGAGGCCAGAAGAGGACAUGGAUCUCCUACAGAAGGAAUGACUGGCAGUUGUGAGCCUUCCAAUAUGGGUGCUGAGGACUAAAUUAUGGUCCUCCAUAGCAACAGUAUGCCGUGUUGAUUACUGUUCCAUUUCUCCAUCCUCAUACUUUAGCUACCAUGCUACUCUGGGCUUCCUUGAUGUCCACUGCUUUAGAUUCCAGACCUAAGUGAGGUGUCACAGUGCUUGUCCUUCUGUGCUUGCUGUAGCUCUUUGAAUGUAAUGUCUUCUAUGAGCUAGCUUUGGUUGGAAUGUUUGGAGGAGCUCCUGUUGUUUCAGUAACAACUGUACUGAUGCACAUUCUUACCAACAGCCUGCCAAGCAUCCCCUCCUCAGCACCUCCAGUAGCUCUUUUACCAGUCCUUUUUUGAUAACAGCCCUUUUGACAGGUGUGGGGUCUAACUGUGGUUUCAAAUGACCGAACUCAACUUUCUUAGUUUCUAAGCAUCACUCUACUCACAUGUAAAGAGAUGCAGCAAAGUGAGAUUUAAAGAGCUUCUUACCUUUCCUCUUGAGGUCUUGUGGGGCAGGAGUCUGGGUUUUUACAGAGGCCAUGUUGUUGCAGCUUUGGAACCUUCAUUGUUUCAGGAUCACCACCAAACAUCUGUGCUCCUCACAACAUCCACAAUCAGGGUUUCCCCCUCUCCAAGUGUGAUUAGGAGCAGUGCUAAUUCUAAGUAUGAUUAGGAGCAGCACUAGGUCCUAAGUACAAAGUAGCCUCAAAACUUGUAGCUUGCUGAGGACUAAUAUAAAAUGCAUAAAUGAAUAACUGCAUUUAUUCUUUAGUACUAAUUGAGGCAAAAAUAGAAUUCGAAUCCCCCAGGUCCCAAACAGAAUCCUUUCAGCGACUGGGAGGCAUCAACAGUCUCCCCUGCCUUGAGUUUAAUGUGUGACAUACACUGGAGAGAAGGAGAUGACCCUGAACUCUUUCUUCUUCUGAUGUGGUUUGGGGUAUAACUGUGCUAGAGGAAGGGUGUUCUUUUUACACAUUUUGUAGCUGCUGUGCUGGCUGGUAGCACUGGCAGAUGUAAGAUAUCCCCUAGCACCCUCCUUUCCAUACCCAGAUGCUACCAACAAGGCCCAUGUCUGCUAGUCAAACAUAUCCCAGUUUAGCUUUGCUGAGCUUUCCAGAGCCUUCUAAGUCAUAACAAGUUUCAGCUAAACUCUGACAACAGAUCAAUUUUCCCCAGUCUACUUGAUGGAGAAAGCAUCUUGCAAAACCCCUACUGAAGACACUGCAGGGAUAGGUGACUGCAGUCUAGCAAAGUAAAGCUCUAGGGAUGUUGUACAUUCAUUGUAUCAAGGAUCUGGAAAGAAGGUUCUCAGCAGAUCACAGGUAGUUAAGUAGCCAAGUUACCAUGGUGAUCCCUAAAGCAGGGAGACAAGGGACAAGCAAAUACUAAUGAGCCAGCCACCCAGGAUCAAGCUGAACCUUCAAGCUCCACCUUCUCUUCACCUGGAGUCAGCUGCAUCUUUAUUAUCCCACCGGCCCUCUGCAAGGAGAGGGAAUGACUUUAGCUUGGGACGAAGACAAUCAUCACUAAGAAUGAAGAACUUUCUAGAGCAGCUAAGACGACGACUGUAUCAGUUUCUGAAUAUAUGUGUCCUUCCCUUGUGCUCAGCAGCAUAUUCAAGCCAAAAGCUCCUACUACUUUGGGACAGAAAGACUAAUGCACUUACCAGCAAAGAGCUCCAAGUAUUGCCUUAUUUGCUGUGCUUAUAUACCAUCUCAGAGGCUUGGUUCUUUUCAUCCACAAAAUAGGAAUAAUAAUUAACGCAAACUUAUGAAAGCUUGGUGAAAAAUUAAAUUAGAGAAUGAAUAUAAGGAUACUCUUCAAACAAAGCAUUUAUUCUGUAGUAGUUUUCAUGUAUAAGAUAUGCUUUCUCACGUUUCAGACUUUCUAAAAUAAAUGUGUAUCUUGCUAUCUA
Molecule: long non-coding RNA, 2325 nt
Organism: Mastomys coucha (southern multimammate mouse)
Lineage: Eukaryota; Metazoa; Chordata; Mammalia; Rodentia; Muridae
Exons: 3
Source: RefSeq, a predicted model, not a curated record